This 194-nucleotide ribosomal RNA is filed under the name uncultured bacterium. RNAcentral's name for it is "partial 16S ribosomal RNA". It matches the Rfam family "Bacterial small subunit ribosomal RNA", at positions 338 to 524 of the family's 1533-position model. The record is from RNAcentral.
CCUACGGGAGGCAGCAGUGGGGAAUUUUGGACAAUGGGGGCAGCCCUGAUCCAGCAAUGCCGCGUGCAGGAAGAAGGCCUUCGGGUUGUAAACUGCUUUUGUACGGAGCGAAAAGGCUCUCUCUAAUACAGAGGGCUGAUGACGGUACCGUAAGAAUAAGCACCGGCUAACUACGUGCCAGCAGCCGCGGUAAU